RNAcentral lists this ribosomal RNA (2880 nucleotides) under Stenotrophomonas maltophilia. RNAcentral describes it as "23S ribosomal RNA". It matches the Rfam family "Bacterial large subunit ribosomal RNA". The record is from RNAcentral. Lineage: Bacteria; Pseudomonadati; Pseudomonadota; Gammaproteobacteria; Lysobacterales; Lysobacteraceae. RNAcentral also lists the same sequence under 2 other names.
GGUCAAGCGAAUAAGCGCACACGGUGGAUGCCUUGGCGGUCAGAGGCGAUGAAGGACGUGGCAGCCUGCGAAAAGUAUCGGGGAGCUGGCAACAAGCUUUGAUCCGGUAAUGUCCGAAUGGGGAAACCCACCCGCUUGCGGGUAUCCUGCAGUGAAUACAUAGCUGCUGGAAGCGAACCUGGUGAACUGAAAUAUCUAAGUAACCAGAGGAAAAGAAAUCAACCGAGAUUCCGUAAGUAGCGACGAGCGAACGCGGACUAGCCCUUAAGCUGAUUUGGUUCUAGGAAAACGCUCUGGAAAGAGCGGCCAUAGAAGGUGAUAGCCCUGUAUCUGAAAGGGCCAUUUCAGUGAAGACGAGUAGGGCGGGGCACGUGAAACCCUGUCUGAACAUGGGGGGACCAUCCUCCAAGGCUAAAUACUACUGACCGACCGAUAGUGAACCAGUACCGUGAGGGAAAGGCGAAAAGAACCCCGGAGAGGGGAGUGAAAUAGAACCUGAAACCGUGUGCGUACAAGCAGUAGGAGCUCCGCAAGGAGUGACUGCGUACCUUUUGUAUAAUGGGUCAGCGACUUACUGUUCGUGGCAAGCUUAACCGUAUAGGGGAGGCGAAGGGAAACCGAGUCUGAUAAGGGCGCAUAGUCGCGGGCAGUAGACCCGAAACCGGGUGAUCUAGUCAUGCCCAGGGUGAAGGUGCGGUAACACGCACUGGAGGCCCGAACCCACUCCCGUUGCAAAGGUAGGGGAUGAGGUGUGAUUAGGAGUGAAAAGCUAAUCGAACCCGGAGAUAGCUGGUUCUCCUCGAAAGCUAUUUAGGUAGCGCCUCAUAUGUAUCCUCUCGGGGGUAGAGCACUGUUAUGGCUAGGGGGUCAUCGCGACUUACCAAACCAUUGCAAACUCCGAAUACCGAGACGGACUGUAUGGGAGACACACGGCGGGUGCUAACGUCCGUCGUGAAAAGGGAAACAACCCAGACCCACAGCUAAGGUCCCAAAUUUUGUGCUAAGUGGAAAACCAUGUGGAAAGGCACAGACAGCCAGGAGGUUGGCUUAGAAGCAGCCACCCUUUAAAGAAAGCGUAAUAGCUCACUGGUCGAGUCGGUCUGCGGGGAAGAUUUAACGGGGCUAAGCACAGAACCGAAGCUUGGGGUGCAUAACUUUGUUAUGCGCGGUAGAGGAGCGUUCCGUAAGCCGUUGAAGGUGGAUUGAGAAGUCUGCUGGAGGUAUCGGAAGUGCGAAUGCUGACAUGAGUAACGAUAAUGCGGGUGAAAAACCCGCACGCCGAAAGCCCAAGGUUUCCUUGCGCAACGUUAAUCGGCGCAGGGUGAGUCGGCCCCUAAGGCGAGGACGAAAGUCGUAGUCGAUGGGAAGCAGGUUAAUAUUCCUGCACCUCGCGUAAGUGCGAUGGAGGGACGGAGAAGGUUAGGUGUACCAGGCGUUGGUUGUCCUGGGGAAAGGCGGUAGGUUUGGAUCUUUGGCAAAUCCGGGAUCCUCUAAGACCGAGCACCGAGACGAGCCUUUAAGGCGAAGUCACUGAUACCACGCUUCCAGGAAAAGCUCCUAAGCUUCAGCUUACGCAGACCGUACCGUAAACCGACACAGGUGGGUAGGAUGAGAAUUCUCAGGCGCUUGAGAGAACUCGGGUGAAGGAACUAGGCAACAUGGCACCGUAACUUCGGGAGAAGGUGCACCCUUUUUGGUGGCUCGUGCGAGCUAUAGCUGAAGAGGGUCGCAGUAACCAGGCCGCUGCGACUGUUUAUCAAAAACACAGCACUCUGCAAACACGAAAGUGGACGUAUAGGGUGUGACGCCUGCCCGGUGCUGGAAGGUUAAUUGAUGGGGUCAGCCGCAAGGCGAAGCUCUUGAUCGAAGCCCCAGUAAACGGCGGCCGUAACUAUAACGGUCCUAAGGUAGCGAAAUUCCUUGUCGGGUAAGUUCCGACCUGCACGAAUGGCGUAACGACAGCGGCGCUGUCUCCACCCGAGACUCAGUGAAAUUGAAAUCGCUGUGAAGAUGCAGCGUUCCCGUGGCAAGACGGAAAGACCCCGUGAACCUUUACUAUAGCUUUACACUGAACGUUGAGUUCGUCUGUGUAGGAUAGGUGGGAGGCUAUGAAACCAUGGCGCUAGCUGUGGCGGAGCCAUCCUUGAAAUACCACCCUGUCGUGCUUGACGUUCUAACCUGGGCCCAUUAUCUGGGUCGGGGACCGUGUAUGGUGGGUAGUUUGACUGGGGCGGUCUCCUCCUAAAGAGUAACGGAGGAGCUCGAAGGUACGCUCAGCGCGGUCGGACAUCGCGCACUGUGUGCAAAGGCAUAAGCGUGCUUGACUGCAAGAUCGACGGAUCAAGCAGGUAGGAAACUAGGACUUAGUGAUCCGGUGGUUCUGUAUGGAAGGGCCAUCGCUCAACGGAUAAAAGGUACUCCGGGGAUAACAGGCUGAUACCGCCCAAGAGUUCAUAUCGACGGCGGUGUUUGGCACCUCGAUGUCGGCUCAUCACAUCCUGGGGCUGUAGUCGGUCCCAAGGGUAUGGCUGUUCGCCAUUUAAAGUGGUACGCGAGCUGGGUUCAGAACGUCGUGAGACAGUUCGGUCCCUAUCUGCCAUGGGCGUUGGAGAUUUGAGAGGGGCUGCUCCUAGUACGAGAGGACCGGAGUGGACGAACCUCUGGUGUUCCGGUUGUCACGCCAGUGGCAUUGCCGGGUAGCUAUGUUCGGAAGCGAUAACCGCUGAAAGCAUCUAAGCGGGAAGCGCGCCUCAAGAUGAGAUCUCCCGGGGCACAAGCCCCCUGAAGGAACCAUGUAGACUACGUGGUUGAUAGGUCAGGUGUGUAAGUACAGCAAUGUAUUGAGCUAACUGAUACUAAUGAUCCGUGCGGCUUGACCAU